GACGGGGCCCGCGACAAGCGGAGGAGCAUGUGGUUAAUUCGAUGAUACGCGAGGAACCGUUACCUGGGCUCGAACGUAAGAUGACUGUAGGUGAAAGCUUACAUCUCUUCGGAGCAUUUUACGAGGUGCUGCAUGGUUGUCGUCAGCUCGUGCCGUGAGGUGUCGGGUUAAGUCCCAUAACGAGCGCAACCCCUACCUUUAGUUGCCAUCAGGUUAAGCUGGGGACUCUAAAGGAACUGCCUACGCAAGUAGUGAGGAAGCGGGGAUGACGUCAAAUCAGCACGGCCCUUACGUCCAGGGCUACACACGUGCUACAAUGGCCGAUACAGAGGGCAGCUACCUGGUGACAGGAUGCAAAUCUCCAAAGUCGGUCUCAGUUCGGAUCGGAGUCUGCAACCCGACUCCGUGAAGUUGGAUUCGCUAGUAAUCGCGCAUCAGCCAUGGCGCGGUGAAUACGUUCCCGGGCCUU
Molecule: ribosomal RNA, 469 nt
Filed under: uncultured Sphingobacteriales bacterium
Lineage: Bacteria; Pseudomonadati; Bacteroidota; Sphingobacteriia; Sphingobacteriales
Description: bacterial SSU rRNA
Rfam family: Bacterial small subunit ribosomal RNA
Source: RNAcentral